Molecule: long non-coding RNA, 351 nt
Filed under: Populus tremula
Lineage: Eukaryota; Viridiplantae; Streptophyta; Magnoliopsida; Malpighiales; Salicaceae
Description: long non-coding RNA (PTRE_LNC000284)
Source: RNAcentral
AGAGCAGUACCAGCUCACAUGCACGAGGAUGGAUGGUGGAGCCUCCAUGACACAACUCCCCUCCGGUGACCUAUAACUCCAAGAUUUUGUUGGAUACACAAAAUAUAAGGACGCCCAUGUUGCCAUCUAAUGAUAAGAUUCUCUUCCAAGAUUUCAUUCUUGCUUUUUUACUGUUUACCUCUCCCCGCUACAGUUGUGGAAUGAAUGAGUUCAGGCACGUGAUCUAUCUUCUUGGCAAAUUGCCUCAUCGCUGUGGGUUGAAUGAGUCUUUCUUGGGUGGCAUCUGCCACUUGACUUGCUAGCUCAGCUCUUCUUGGCAAACUUGAUGUGAUAGUCUUCUCUCCUUUCUUC